RNAcentral lists this ribosomal RNA (293 nucleotides) under uncultured Planctomycetota bacterium. Its description in RNAcentral is "uncultured planctomycete partial 16S ribosomal RNA". Lineage: Bacteria; Pseudomonadati; Planctomycetota. The record is from RNAcentral.
GGACUACUAGGGUAUCUAAUCCCGUUCGCUCCCCUGGCUUUCGCGUCUCAGCGUCAGCAGGGGUCCAGGCGCUCGCUUUCGCCGCGGGCGUUCCUUCCGAUCUCAACGCAUUUCACCGCUCCACCGGAAGUUCCAGCGCCCCCUACCCCCCUCCAGACGACCCGUUUCGACGCCCCUUCCCCGGUUGAGCCGGGGGCUUUCAGCGGCCGACGCGGUCAUCCGCCUACACGCGCUUUAAGCCCAGUGAUUCCGAAUAACGUUCGCACGGUUCGUCUUACCGCGGCUGCUGGCAC